CAGCCUGCAGCGGGGGAGAGUGAGAGGGAAGGAACGUGGUGGGGGUGGGGGAGGCCUGGGGGCCUGGAGAGGAAAGGACUCACCUCAGUGUCCAUCUGUCUGUCCUCUUCUGCCUGUCUGUCCUUUGUGUCCAGGAAUUCCCCAGACAGUGGGGAGGGAGGAGAGGCCAUUUCUCUCCUAGGUCUGGAGUGUUUCACCUCGGCAUACGUCACUGCCUGGGGGUCUUCAUCGUGUGGGCUCUGCUGGAGAGAGACAG
RNAcentral lists this long non-coding RNA (256 nucleotides) under Homo sapiens (human). Its description in RNAcentral is "HSALNT0398730". The record is from RNAcentral. Lineage: Eukaryota; Metazoa; Chordata; Mammalia; Primates; Hominidae.